Long non-coding RNA from Pollicipes pollicipes, 1336 nucleotides. RefSeq lists it as uncharacterized. The record is from RefSeq and is a predicted model, not a curated record. Lineage: Eukaryota; Metazoa; Arthropoda; Thecostraca; Pollicipedomorpha; Pollicipedidae. The transcript has 3 exons.
UCGGGUCGUCCACUUCCGUAAACUCUGAACAGAUAAACAUCAAUCGUGUUUAGUUCAAUAGAAGAUUUCAUCGACUUUUCCAACGUUAAAGUACACGAUCCAGCAAGCAACAGUGUAUAUUAUCCUUCUGAGCCAGCCCAUUUGUCGUUUUAACAAUUUCUAUCACGGUAGCAAGCGUGAUAAUUUCAAAUGAGUGUCUAUCGAACAUUAACGAAUGAACUUAACGAAACCCUCCAUUUUUCAUCAAGAAGCAUCAUACGCAUAGUGUGCUACAAACUACACGCCAACAAAUAACUACCACGAUUUCCCCAAAUCGUUUACUCCAGUUGCCACAAAUCAUUGAUAUUUAUUCGAGUUCCGGUGUGAAUGUCAUUGUUAGUGUCCAAGGCUGACUCGUCCCAAGAUGUGGAUUACUAGAAGACAUCACGAUCGGCAUGUCAGAGUGUCUUCUUAUUUUGAUAACAGGCUUGUUCCUGUUUCGCGGGACCUGCGGGACCGGUGAUCACCAGGGGUGGCAGCGUGACAUUGCGCGCGGCUCGAACGCCUAUGGUGUCGAGGGGCGGCUCAGCGGCGACCGGCCUCUGCGGGGGGACGGGCGACAGAGGCUACUGCCGCUAGGCUUCGUGCCCGUGGGCCCCGAACGUCGGCUAGAGACCGGACCUCACGGAGGAGGCAGUGCCGGGGGCGUGGCCCCAGGCGGGGGCGGCCAGCCGCUGGGCCCCGUAGCUCCUGUCGUGGGGCGCUCUCCCAAGCCGCACGCGGCUCGCGGCCUGGCUCCUGACUCUGCCACGGAAGAGAUCAGCCUAAGGCUGACCGUCGUCACACCCAGAAGCGGCAGCCCCGCGUCCGGAGACCGCCAGGAUGGAAGAGGCUCCGUCUCGUCGGACGGCCUCACCCAAGGACUGCGAGGGGGCGACAUUCUGGGAGCCCAGCAGUCCGGCGAAAAACCCGCUGCCGCCGUUGGCGGACAGGAGAUCGUCUUGGGCUUUCAGAGGAACAGUGCCCAAGCAGGCGGCGAGGAGGGUGAAACAGACAUCGCACCGAAGCAGUCCAAGACUUCGUCGGCCGUGCCUCAGCUCGGACCCCCGCUGGGAAGUGACCAGGCCUCGGAGGCUUCCCGUAAAGGUAGCGCCGUCAGCGGGCCGGGCCACCCUGCCGGCGUGACUAGCGAGCAAAGCGAGGGGCUGGGAGCUCCCCGCGUCGCCGGCCGAGCUGCGGUGCCGGAACAGCGCGGCCCGCCGGCGACAGACGGGGCCAGCCAGCCGGGGCCGCCCCGACUCUCCAUCGCCGAGGUUCUGGACUUUCGGCCGGCGCCGCCGCAGAGCUUGGCCGGUCA